UCUACACAUGGAGUCUCUUACAGUAGCAUCUCCCUGUGCCUGGAUAAUACUUGAUUUUGUUCUCCUGCCCAUGACAACUCUGAAAGGGUACCGAAGAGUCUUGAUAACAUUCAGGUUUUUCACUGAGUGUAGUUGUUUCCAUACAGAACUGCUUCUCCAUCUGUUUGCUUCCAUUUUGGCUCUAGCGCUGUUCCUGUCUAGCCCCUGCAGUUUCAGGGACAAAUACGUAUAGGUUCAGUUUUUCCCAGUAUAUACCCUGUCUUCAAUUUUUGAGCAAGAGGUUUGGCCUGCGAAGCUUGCGAUUUUUAAAUAAGCAUAAUUCUAUUUAAACUUAGUUUUAUCAUUAAACUUAAUAGCUAACGUAACACCGGAGUAACUAGACCAGAAUGAUGGUCCCUGUUGCCCACUCCUCUGCUGCUCCUUCUCAAGCCCUAUAGCACAGGACAGCAAAGUGCAUAAUGAUACUUCUUCCAAGUAUUCUUCCAAUCUCCAACCAUUUUUCUUUUAGGGACUUACUGAAUCAUUAGUUUUAUCAAUACGGUGCUAUUUAGGGGCUCUUCUGUGGAUUUGUUGAGUUGACUUUUGAAAACUCUCAGCUUUCACAGUGGAAAGGAGUUUCCCAUUUCACAGCUGGUGCUCUGUGAAGAAAUGCCUCCUCUUGUUUGCUUUGAACUUCACCUGCAGUCUGUUCUGGGAGCCAUAAAUCCGUAAACGAAAUGCAGUGAACAUGGGUUCGUGUCUGGAGUUAUUUUAAAAAAUUGUUCAUUAAUCAGCACUUAAAGGGUGGUAAUCUGGACCACGCGAUAAAUUUUGUUGCCCAGUCAGAACAGAACUACUUUUUUUCCUGAAAUCUCUACAGAGUGCAAGGGAGGAGAAGAAAGGUCUGUACUGUACUCAUUACAUAUUUAUUAUGUCAUUCAUAUUCCACUAAUUUAGCCUCCUCAUUCUCUUACAGUCUCAUUUGCUUUUGCUGAGAAAAGCAUUUAUUUAAUUGAAGGCUCAGUCUAAAUAAAGCAUGCUACUGAUUGCUUAUGCUGAUUAUUCCAGGCAUUCUCUUCCUAAUUUGGAAAAUCUGCUUGCUUUUCUUUGAUUUAUUUUUAUAUUAGUAAUUUUCUUCCUAUAUUUUUACACCGUCCAUAGUGCUGGGUUGAGCAGUUUGAUUUCCAACUGAGACUAGGCCAGUUGCGUUUUGGGCACAGAAAACCUGCUUCAGAAUGGUCUUUGUAUGUUAGGAACUAGAGUUGGAAAACAACUUCUUCUGAAUUCAGGGUUUUUUGGAAGCAAGCCAUGGAAGUGUGUGUAAUUACAGAAAUUAGAUUCAGACACCCCUGGAAUUUAAACUAGUUCAAGUCUGAAUUCCAGCCCAGUAUCCAGGUUGUGUGAGAAAAUUUGUUUUCUAGGUGCACAUAUCUUUAUGAAAUUAUAUUUAGUAUUUCAAGAUAAAUGUGCGAGCAUCAUUUUCCAUCCUGCUUUAGCUGAUUUGGAUCAUUGCAAUAAAUGCAUCUAGAUUUCCUUUGAGACUGGGACUCAGUUUGUAUUUCUGGAAUUAACUUGAACUAACAAACAUCCAAUUUUCAAGAAGUUAGGAAAACAGAUGUACUUACAAAAUCAUACUGUUGCAUUGAGAUUUUUUCCCUCUUUGCUACCCAGGCUUUCAUACAUCAUGCUAGUCUGUGCUAUCACAUCAGAUCUCAUUAAUAGUGUUCUGUGCAAUGUUCUGCUAUACUUCAUUUAUUCCUAUAAGCCGUUGAGCUCUACCACUGUAAGAGCUCAGACUACCAGCAGCUGGAGACUUUUGGCAACAUUCAUGACUUGGUACAGGAAAUCUUGACAGUAAAAAUAAGUCAUUUUUAUUGAAAUACUGCUCCAUGGGAAGACAAUUGAAGCUUGUGACAAUACUUCAACAGUGCCAGCUUUCAGAGAGGUCUUCCAAAAAUCUUCUUGUUUUUUAAAUCGGGAUGUUUGAAAGCACGUUCAUCCUGUCCAUGCUGACUGUCAUCUGCUGGGCUCUGGUGCCACGUUAUCCCCAGUGGCCCCAAACUAACAAGUACCUGGCUGCCUAAUGGUGACUUCUCCUGCAGGGAGAGGGACAUGGCCACCCUCUCACUCCCAUGUGAAACCCUUGGUUUCAAACACGAUUGUCACAUAGCCUUGUAGUGCUCUUUCCCCUCGCUCUUGCCUUUAUGGGGAAGGAGAGAAGACCAUCCACUGUAUGUCUAAUGAAAUAUGAUAAAAGAAUGCUGAGAAAAAAAAUAUACAUUACAGUUCAUUGGCAUAAUGUUAAGGAAUGUAUCUGCUGUCUGUUUAAUAAAGCAAAAAUAGGUCAUGGUGAGCAUUUCACUUUACAAAUAGAGACAUUUUAUGAUUUAACUAUUCCUUGAACUGAAAGGUUGGUCAAAGGAGAGAUUGAAAAAGAUGGAGUUGUCUGUUGGGCCUCUAGGAAAAGGUGGGCCAUGGUCCCCUUCCCUCCCUGCCCCACGUGGAGUUGGAAACAAACCCAGUCUUCUGUGUCCCUGCAUUAUUCUACACUGCAGAAUACAAGAGCAGUGCAGUAACAAGGAAGAGAGGGAAGUCUGGGGGCUGUGGGACUGCAACCCAACAAUAAGCUGCGACCGGGACAUAAUCACUCUCAUAGGAAUUACACAUGACACACAGCUAAAUGCCUUUGUUCUCUUACAGUGCAAUUAUGUCAAAAUCUUGCUGACCCCUUUUCCCUGGUGCUGCAGAACUGUUGUUUGGAAGGAUUUCUCAGAGUGAUAAAGUACAAUUUGUGGGAAGAAGAUGCUGUACUUUUAAAAUUCUUUAAAAUAGCCUGAGCUUCUCCUGCUAACCAACUGCCUUCUGCAUGAUAUCCACCAUGUAAUGAACCAUUUUCUCAUCUGAUUCUUGUCAGAAGUAAAAUCGACAGCAUGCUAAUGACAGUGACAUAGCUAAAGUUUCCUUUGAAGUUUUCCAAAAUUUUUUACUAUCACAAGGUGGAAAAUAUUUCAGUUAGGACUCCAUUCCUUUCAGAACGAUACUCUGCUCAGGUCAUGUGGGGACUUAAAUGGUGGUCAUCAAGAAUAGCCUCUUCCAAAUCAGAGCUGCUGCACUGUGUGAAGACCUGACAGCUGUAUUUAUUGAGUCACCCCUGGGCCCGGUUGGCCAGGUCAUCCCUUUCUGUACCAAUAUUUUCUGUGAAGCAACCAAAGCAAAUUUCAGAUACUCAUUUGGAUCUGUUUCCCCGGAAUGCCAAUCAGUCAACUUAACCGUAUCCAUUACACCAUCCCUGUAGGAAAAGCCUUUGUAAUGCAACCUGCUGUUCUAGUUCACAAAGCUUGAAGAGAGAACUAUGAGAAAAAGAGAAAAUGGGAAAUGCCAAUAAUACUUGUCAGUCUUACCAGAGCUUUGAACACGGAUCAACAAGAGCUUGCUGAAGCUCUUGUAAUGACUGCUUACGUGAUGUGUUGGCUUUAGAAAGCAGACGCUGGAAAUAAUGGGAGAGAAAAAAUCUUCAGAGGAACUUUUGGAAUUUUCUGUUGAGAACUGUGUGUAGUAGAAACCACAAACAGAGUAU
Molecule: long non-coding RNA, 3556 nt
Organism: Oxyura jamaicensis (ruddy duck)
Lineage: Eukaryota; Metazoa; Chordata; Aves; Anseriformes; Anatidae
Exons: 2
Source: RefSeq, a predicted model, not a curated record